UACGUAGGGCGCAAGCGUUGUCCGGAAUUAUUGGGCGUAAAGAGCUCGUAGGCGGUUUGUCGCGUCUGCUGUGAAAACCUAAGGCUCAACCUUGGGCUUGCAGUGGGUACGGGCAGACUAGAGUGCGGUAGGGGUGACUGGAAUUCCUGGUGUAGCGGUGGAAUGCGCAGAUAUCGGGAAGAACACCCGUGGCGAAGGCGGCUCUCUGGGACGGUACUGACGCUGAGACGCGAAAGCGUGGGGAGCGAACAGG
This 253-nucleotide ribosomal RNA is filed under the name uncultured bacterium. RNAcentral describes it as "partial 16S ribosomal RNA". It matches the Rfam family "Bacterial small subunit ribosomal RNA", at positions 524 to 776 of the family's 1533-position model. The record is from RNAcentral.